This 408-nucleotide long non-coding RNA is filed under the name Fukomys damarensis (Damara mole-rat). Its description in RNAcentral is "lncRNA (ENSFDAG00000032196.1)". Lineage: Eukaryota; Metazoa; Chordata; Mammalia; Rodentia; Bathyergidae. The record is from RNAcentral.
GUGGAGUCUGCUGAGUCAUGACAUGCCAAGGUUCUUACAGAAAUAUCUUCCUGGUCCUUUGGCUGUGUGAGACCUCCCGAGAGCACGAGGAAGGGAACCAUUGGCUCAAGGGUACAUUGGCCCUGCAUGGACACUGUAGAGAUCCCAGGAAUAUCUUGCACCCCUAUUCUGCAGACUUGCCUGAACUGAACUUGUAUUGUCAACUAAGAAGCAAUCAAUUGGGCUUCAUCCAGUAUGUGAGUAAUGUAGGAAUGGCUGAUCCAUCUUGGAAUCACAGUGUCCAGGUCAAAGUAACAGUGUCCAAAUUUUCUGAUGCUAAAAUGCUAAAUAGCCCAGGUCUUUUAAAGCCAAGGCUGUGGGUGGCAACCAUAAGAACAUUGCGAGGAGUUGUUAUCUGAGAAAACCCAC